AUACCGAAGUGUUAGGCAGAGGCUCCUGUAUAAACAUAAGCUAUCGCCCAAAAAUGUCGAGAGACGCCAAUGGGUAAAACAGAGAUUGUCGAAAUAAGGCUUUCUCCAGGUAGCUAAGAAAUUUUUCUUUACGUUAUACAGUGCUAAAACUCAGACGAAGCAACUCAAU
Molecule: small RNA, 169 nt
Filed under: Aerococcus urinae
Lineage: Bacteria; Bacillati; Bacillota; Bacilli; Lactobacillales; Aerococcaceae
Description: Magnesium sequence
Rfam family: M-box riboswitch aptamer (ykoK leader)
About the family: M-box riboswitch, also know as ykoK leader is described as a metaloregulatory RNA that sense divalent metals and function as a genetic control element of genes related to divalent metal transport in bacteria. It was first reported upstream of the B.subtilis ykoK gene and genes with related functions in other bacteria.
Source: RNAcentral